AACGAACGCUGGCGGCAGGCUUAACACAUGCAAGUCGAACGGGUGUAGCAAUACAUCAGUGGCGCACGGGUGAGUAACGCGUGGGAAUAUGCACUUUGGUACGGAACAACCUCGGGAAACUGAGGCUAAUACCGUAUAAUAUCUGCGGAUCAAAGAUGUAUCGCCAAAGGAUUAGCCCGCGUUGGAUUAGGUAGUUGGUGAGGGAACGGAUCACCAAGCCGACGGUCCAUAGCUGGUCUGAGAGGAUGAUCAGCCACACUGGGACUGAGACACGGCCCAGACUCCUACGGGAGGCAGCAGUGAGGAAUAUUGGACAAUGGAGGAAACUCUGAUCCAGCCAUGCCGCGUGAGUGAUGAAGGCCUUCGGGUUGUAAAGCUCUUUUACCCCUGACGAUAAUGACGGUAAGGGGAGAAAAAGCCACGGCUAACUUCGUGCCAGCAGCCGCCGUAA
This 451-nucleotide ribosomal RNA is filed under the name uncultured bacterium. RNAcentral describes it as "partial 16S ribosomal RNA". It matches the Rfam family "Bacterial small subunit ribosomal RNA", at positions 29 to 523 of the family's 1533-position model. The record is from RNAcentral.